This 504-nucleotide ribosomal RNA is filed under the name uncultured bacterium. Its description in RNAcentral is "partial 16S ribosomal RNA". It matches the Rfam family "Bacterial small subunit ribosomal RNA", at positions 30 to 523 of the family's 1533-position model. The record is from RNAcentral.
AUUGAACGCUGGCGGCAGGCCUAACACAUGCAAGUCGAACGGUAGCACAGAGAGCUUGCUCUCGGGUGACGAGUGGCGGACGGGUGAGUAAUGUCUGGGAAACUGCCAGAUGGAGGGGGAUAACUACUGGAAACGGUAGCUAAUACCGCAUAACGUCGCAAGACCAAAGUGGGGGACCUUCGGGCCUCACACCAUCGGAUGUGCCCAGAUGGGAUUAGCUAGUAGGUGGGGUAAUGGCUCACCUAGGCGACGAUCCCUAGCUGGUCUGAGAGGAUGAACAGCCACACUGGAACUGAGACACGGUCCAGACUCCUACGGGAGGCAGCAGUGGGGAAUAUUGCACAAUGGGCGCAAGCCUGAUGCAGCCAUGCCGCGUGUAUGAAGAAGGCCUUCGGGUUGUAAAGUACUUUCAGCGGGGAGGAAGGCGGUGAAGUUAAUAACUUCACCGAUUGACGUUACCCGCAGAAGAAGCACCGGCUAACUCCGUGCCAGCCGCCGCAGUAA